This 852-nucleotide long non-coding RNA is filed under the name Triticum aestivum (bread wheat). RNAcentral describes it as "long non-coding RNA (TAES_LNC023945)". The record is from RNAcentral. Lineage: Eukaryota; Viridiplantae; Streptophyta; Magnoliopsida; Poales; Poaceae.
CGGCGAGGAGGGCCACAUCUCCAGGGACUGCCCCCAGGGCGGCGGCGGUGGCGGCGGAUACGGCGGUGGUGGCUAUGGAGGAGGCGGCGGCGGCGGCCGCGAGUGCUACAAGUGCGGCGAGGAGGGCCACAUCUCCAGGGACUGCCCCCAGGGCGGUGGUGGUGGCGGCGGCGGCGGCGGCUACGGAGGCGGUGGUGGCCGUGGCGGCGGCGGCGGCGGUGGCGGCUGCUUCUCCUGCGGCGAGUCCGGCCACUUCUCCCGCGAGUGCCCCAACAAGGCCCACUAGGCGGCACAGCUCUUCAGAUCUGAGUGCCCCGUUUACCCUCGCUCCUUUACCUACCUCCUGAUUCUGCAGCAAGUCAUACCCUAUACCUAUCAGUACUAGUAUUAGUCGCCGUAGCGUUUCCCCCUGCUGCUCGAUCCGAGCUUGGUUCCAGAAGAAUUGCUGGUGGUGUGUUCGUCGUUAAGAUCCAAGUUAUUUUGUUGUCUCUCUGUGAUGAGGACACAGAUCUAUCUAUGUGUUGGAUGGACUAAGUUAUCGAAGUCAAGUUUGGUUUCUUGAGAUUGAUCUAUGAUCUUGCAUGCCUAGUGUUUAUCUUGCAUGUCUGCCAGGCUUGAAAGCGUUGAUUCUGAUAUUCUGUUCUAGGCUAGUGGUGGUGGAUUAUUUUGGAAUCCUGUUCUCCCAUUUAUGUGCGAUUCCAUUGGCGUUUUGAUAGUGGUAUGAUUCGCAAGUUUGAUGCUUCAUGUUCAACAGGUUCAUGGUUCCAAAUCUUCAACAGGUCAAUUCUUAUAUGUUCUUGUGCCACUGUCUGCUGUUAGUAGAUUCUUCACAUGCCACUAGCUUGCAAAAUG